UCCUUUUCAACACUGCUUGAUAUGAUACCGAAGCAAUACAUUUUAUAACCUUCUCUUUCCGAACCUAAUUCCAACCAGCCUCGUCUUGGCUUUCAAAAUCAGCGAUCAUUUUUCUCAGUUCAAUGCUCGGCUCCUUUAGUCUUCCACCCACACUGAAGCACUGGUUCCAAGAUGAUUAACAGAAGCCAAUUUAUCUGAUUUGAAAAUACAGCUUCAGAUCUUAUUCCCUCUCUACGCAACCUGGGGAUUUUGGUUCACGGAGCAAUCCCAGCCACUUCAGCCAUAUCCCCGUGCCAAAUUGAGAGCGCAGAAAGCAACCGUAAAUACUGACUGCUCCGCGCCCUACUUCAUUUUGGCUCAAGUUUGGCUUCAGCUUCAUUCUGAAUCCACGCCAACUUCAUUGUGUUCAAUUGGAGGCACGCGCGGUGCAUCAACAGGCCUUCUGUGUUUGGGCGAGGGCUUAUGCGAUGAUGGUGAUGAUUGCGACGCACGAUCAGGUGAUCUUUGUAUCUAAUUAUGAUUUGUUAUUCAUUUCAUAACUUUUAAGGUAUGAGGCCAUUUUCGAGCACUCAAAGUGUUCGGUUUUAGUUCUAAUGGAAUUUGUGCAUUACUGAAACCUAUUGUAGGAUAUACAAGUAUGCAAUGGUCUGAUAUUUGUUUCUCGUUCAUUUCCGUGUCUAUAUCUAUAUGUAUCCAUCUCAUUAUUUGAGAUCUGUUAAUUCCUCAUUUGUGUGUUUCAUGUUUAUAUGUUCAGUUAUCGGCACUAGAUGUGUGGAUUUUUGUUGUUUUUUGUGUGAAUUAGGGUUUCGUGUGAUAUAAAUGUGUUGUUUUUGUAUAUGCUUCUGGUUGAUUUGUUCUUGUGAUUUAUUCGUUUUGUAAAUGUUAAUUUGAGAACCAGCUGAAUUCAGAAUUGUAAACCUUUAGGUUUGUAUAGUUGUAAAUGAUGAUUUGGAUGCGAUUAGGUAUUGAUAUGUAUUUCAAACGGAUUACUGAUAUGCAUCUGAGCAAAGAUUUGAGAGACUUGGUUCUCAUUUGACGUUGGUUCUCACCAGAAUACAGCAAGAUAUACGUUUACACACAAACACGUAGACUGGCAGACACAAAAAGUAAACUAUCUGACGGACCCGGAAAUAUUGGUCUUUCCAUUUGAGAGGGGAGUAGUUGAUAUAGAUUUGUGUUUAUACCUGCCUCAGUUUGGAGUUGUUUUCACUCACAAGCUUACAUGUGAGCUAUUGCUAUGUGUUAGUUCUUCCACAUUCUAGUGGAGAUUUAUCAUCACUGCAGCACCUAAAUUUAUCUUCAAGCCUUUUGAUAAACUAAAAACCAACCUUGGCUAGACUUAAAUCUAUCGAAAAAUAAACAAGACCAUAUUUCAGAAUCACUAAGGUUCAUGGCCUUAACUUAAUCAAAGUAUGAACGGUGUAAUUUUCAAAUGCUAGAUCUGAUUGAAGAAGAUGAAUAAGAGCAAAAGAGAAAGAGACCACGUUGUGGGUAGACUGAAUCUAGUCUCUAUAAACCCGGGAUCGAAUCCCCGCGGCUGCGUGGAUUUGUGAGAUGGGGAAGGGGAAUAAGAGCUUAAUGGGGUUUGAUUUGAAGGUGGUGUUGAUGGUGUCAGUGGCGUUGAAUGUGGUUUUGAUUUCGAGGGUUUUGUAUCGGGAAGAGGAUGAGAGAGAGAUGGGUGGUGGGGUUUGUUUAGAGAGUGAAGCGCAGGUUAGCAGGAGGAGAAAGGGGUUUGACGGAGCUGGUUCCGGCACGGAUGUUGUCGACGGUGGUGGUAUUAUUGAUCUUGAUCAGUAAGUUCUUUUACUCUCCAACUCUUUCUUCCGUUUUUCCAGUUAGUCGUUUCCUUGUUCGUCCCGUAAUACUAAUUAUUUUCUAGAAAUUACAUAUAUAAAAUAUGGUUUCAAAUCCGAACACAAACACAUGAUGCUGCUUUGACUUUCAAAUCCUACGGGGUUCCUCAUGGCUUAACUAGGCCUUUCUAUUACAAUUAUUUACAAUAUUCUUUUUUUCUCAUGAUUUUGAGUGGAAUUGCAAAAGGUGUUGACUUUAAUCUUGUUUGUUUGUGUGUAUUUGUUUGUUUGUUUAAUCCCUGUGUUUUGUUUGGUUUUGGUGUUUUUCGCGAUUUUUCAUGUUAUAUGUGAGAUGCUUCAUUGUUCGCUUCACAUACUUCACAUACGACGAGGCAACUUGACCGAUAGCAUAGCGGUGGUGGCCGAUGGUGGCGGUGACGACGGUUUCAGGACGAGAUCCGGUUUCAGAAAGGAAAACGCGCUAAUUGUGCCUUAAUUCAGGGCGGUAAUUGUGCCUCGUUAAUUGUGCCUCUUUAUUGAGGGCGUAAUUUGUGCCUCAAUUAUUGAGGACGUAAUUUGUGCCUCAAUUUGUGCCUCAAUUAUUGAGGGCGUAAAUUAUUGAGGGCAUUAAUUGUGUCUUAAUUAAGGAUAUUAAUAUUUUAUUAUUAUGCCUUAAUUUAGAGCUUAAUUGUCUCAAUCAUGAGUUAUCAUGAUUCAUGAUUGUGGGAAUAUUUUGAUGUAAUCUGUUAAAUAUAUCGACUUAUAUUCUUUUUGUUUCUCUCGUUUUAUUUUCAGGAUUCUUGGAAGAAGACCCGUUUUCUUUUCGGACAUUAAAGUUUUAUUGUCUAAAUUUCCCCGGUCAUCUUGCAUGUCCGACGGUUAGAUAAUAAGCUUUCUUGAAUGAAAGAAUUAUCACGGUGAAUUGCCGAAAAAAAAAAAAAAAACAAAAAAAAAACCAACCUUGGCCAGCUGUCUAAUCUAAAAUCUGUUACUAGAAAAAGAAUGAGUGAGCGUAAAUACUUUUUAGUUGUGCAAGGCCUUCUGUACAAUCAGCCGCAAGGAAAAUUCGUAUUGGGGAGAAAAAGGGUUAAUUACAAAUGAAAUGUUACUAACAAGGUAGUAUAGCUGCAACUCCCUUCUGACAGGUAGUUCAGCAAGAUGAUUUUCUCUAAUAAUUGUGACAUCUCUGUGCCUUAAUUUUAAUGUUUGGAUUUGGUAAUAUUGAUAUGAUCAUAUUGUUAAUAAUCUUAUUUUCAUUGUGAGUGGAACAUUUUUAAAUACAUUUAGCUUUUUUAAAAUUGGAUUUCUGUUUAUGAUUACAGAUCUGGUGGAUUAGUGGUGGCUUAGAAAACAUAGGAGGCAUAAGUUUUAAAAUGGGUUGGUUAUGUGGUAACACAGAUCAUACUAUCAUAGCUUUUAUGGGCGCCCUUCACAAUAAUGUGCAAACUUCCUCAACCAAGCGAAGCUUUCCUUAAUAAUGUAUUUCUAGAAUUGCAACCAAAAUAGCAAUUGUCAAGUAGAAUUAUACUCUUUUAAUUGCUAACACUUUAUUGUUUGUUAAUAAUUAUAAAAAAUUAUACUUGAUUCCUCUAGAAUUAUUAAAAAAUAAUAUGAUCUUAGUAUAAUAAUAUAAUUUGGAUUUUUACACGAGGCCCCUGUCUUGCACGUGUAGCAUGGCUUAAGUAGAAAGGGUAGGAAGAUAAAGCCAUAAUCUUGUGGGACUGUCCCUGACUAACCGCACUAGCACCAUUCACUGAGGUUCAUCCACUAUGGAUGAACCUAAUUUUGAACAGAGUAAGAAUAUGAAAUAGCAAUCAAACUUAAGCUUAAAAUAUUAGGUUCUACAUCAAGUAGGCUCAUGUCGCCGAAAAGUCUCAAGUAAAACAUAGGUCUCCACGACGAGUCAUUUAAAUGACUAAAUCACUAUAAAAUAUCCCUAUGUUCUACUUGAGACUUUUUAGUGAGAUGAGUGGCCUACUUGAUAUGAAACCCUUACAUUAUUACGCAAAUGAGAGAUUAACAAUCUUAUCGAAUCUUAUUUAAUCUUAUAAUUGUCUGUGUCAAUUUGCACUUCCCUGAACCAUGGUUCAUAUAAGUUAGAUAUUAUGAAUCCCGAAAGCCAAGAUGAUAAUACUGAUAGAUUUAGGGAUAAUCUAUUCAUAAUGCUGAGUUAGGUUCAACCAGUAAAAAGGUUGAUCGUAUAAAGUCAUAUUUAAAGGUGUGCACCAUGAACAUCAGUAGAUCUCAUCAAGUAAAUAAAAAUUCAAAAAGGACUGGAUCAGACAACUAUUUUAACCUAUGGUGAUCAUAUAUUGUGUUAUUGAAUUUUAUAGUAGCUAGAGUGAGUCUUGGUUGAUUUUUCUUUAAAAGUUUUUUCAUCCUUAUAUGAUUUCAGAGCUUUCAUUUGUUGUUUAAUUUUAUUUAUUCAUUUUCUUGUAGUUAUUCUGUUGAUUUUGGUCGACUUUUUAGGGCUUUUUGGAUGAAGUUGUAUGUUCGUAGAUAUAAUAUGUCAUAGUUUUUUAGUUUUUGUUAUAAUAUUAAUUGUUUUAUGUGUUUUUGUACCUUCUUCCAAGGUUUCUAAGGUCUCACUCACUUAUUUUAUUUUUCUCAUGCUAGAGAAAGCAAUAUAUGAGAUGUUGUGGAGUUUCAGAGUCCAUUAAUGCUCUGUUUUACCUUUUUGUAAUAUGUUAUAAUACACUAUUAAACUUUAAUGUUUUCGAUCAUAUAAGUUAUUUAUGGAAAUAUUUUGUAUAUUCUGGAUGUGGGAAGUUAUAAUGAAAGCAUCUGAUGCAGAACUUAAUGGAGCUAAUGGGACUAAACGUGUUAAUUGGACUCUUGUUAUAACAAGACUAGAGCAUCUCCAGCAGUGUCCUAGAGAGGUUCCCUAAAUAUAUGAUAAAUAAUUCAACUUCUAAAAAAUAGGGACUUUAUGUUGAUUGACAACUCCAACAAUGAUCCAUUUGUGUUCCCUAUUAUUAUUAUAAUAUUAAAUUCAAAAUUUUUUAACAAGAAGAUAACAAAAAAAAUAUGGGAAAGAGCGUACAAAAGGUGAGAGUUGAUUAUUUAAUCAUUAAAAAUCAAAUGAGGAAUGAGUUAGGGAUUACCUAUUUAUGGGGAAUGAGAGAUGGAUCCUAACAUUUAGGGAAUGAGUGGAGACUCUGCUGGAGUGGAUUUUUGUGCAUAUUCCUUAAAAUUAUAACUUAGGACCUCAUUUAGCUAAUCUGCUGGAGAUGCUCAAUUAACAGUGUUAACUGGACUAAUGGUGCAUUAGAGGAGGCUUUGCCACCACCUCCUCCCAACUGAAGAUGUUGUUCCCCUUCGUGUACAAAGAGAUGCUGAGCCAGUAAUGAUGAAGCCUCCACGUGUGCCUAUUGCGAGGCGUGGCCUGGCAUCGAAAGGGAACAAAGUUCAGCUUCUUACUAAUCAUUUCAAAGUCAAUGUGAAAAAUGUUGAUGGACAUUUUUUUCACUGCAGUGUGAGUUCCUUCUAUCAUGGUUCCAAAUUGUUAACUGACUAUAUAUAAUGGUGUGCCUGCUUUGUGUUUUACGUACUUUAAGUUGUCUUAUCCUUAUGCUCUUGUGAAUUAAGUUGGUCUGGUAUGCAGCAUCUAAUCCUGUGAACUUUGCCCUUUUUAUUCAAGAUGGUCGUCCGAUAGAUGGAAAAGGUAUUGGAUUUAUAUGUUGAGGCUGAUUUUAUUCCGGAGUACCAGAAGUGUGCUGGUGGUUUGCCAGUUUGGAUGUUGGCCAAAGGCCAGGACUGUGGUGCAGACUGGAUGGAUAUGAUAUGGCUAGGUUGUAUCUUGUCGCAAUAUUCCAACUUUACAUGUCUCAGAGAGUGUGAUUUGUCUUAGUGGAACUGUAUGUUUGUAUCCCUGGGUGUGUCUGAGUUUGGUGGUCAGUGGGAAUUUGUUUUGCAAGCUUGGAGGCUUUGGUUUAGUGCUGAAUUCAGGAUGUGGAAUUUUCGUAGCUGGAAUCUUCGUUGCUGAGCUCUGAUGGUUUCCUUUUUAUAAUUUUUUUUGUCUUCCAGAUUUUGGUGGUGGUCUUUGUUUAUGCUGCAGGUAUAUGGUAUUUUUUUUAUGCAUCCUUCAGCGCAGAGUUGUUUCUGGCAUUCUUCCUUGCUGCUGCAAUUUUUGUAAAUUGGAACUUGUUUCAAUUAUUUUAAAACAAGUUUCUUUUCACCUAAGAUAAUAAAGCACAUGACCACUAUAUGUAUUUAGUCUCAAUGAUGGAUGUAUUUUUCUAUAUCUAUUUUUUAUAAUGUAAUUACUAUUUUUAUUUGAUCAUAUGUUUAGUUUAAUCAUAAUGGUGUUGUAACCCACAAUGCAUUUCUGCAAAUAUAAUUUCUUUGGUAACAACUCUGUCAUGAAAUAUAUGUGUAUAUAUAAUAUACAUAUAAUAAUAUAUAUUUAAAAUUUUAAAAUUUGUUGGUUAAUAAUCUGGGACAAAUAUAAAU
This 6245-nucleotide long non-coding RNA is filed under the name Daucus carota (carrot). Its description in RNAcentral is "long non-coding RNA (DCAR_LNC003772)". The record is from RNAcentral. Lineage: Eukaryota; Viridiplantae; Streptophyta; Magnoliopsida; Apiales; Apiaceae.